This 481-nucleotide ribosomal RNA is filed under the name uncultured bacterium. Its description in RNAcentral is "bacterial SSU rRNA". It matches the Rfam family "Bacterial small subunit ribosomal RNA", at positions 24 to 518 of the family's 1533-position model. The record is from RNAcentral.
UCAGGACGAACGCUGGCGGCAUGCCUAACACAUGCAAGUCGAACGGAGUAAUGACUUCGGUUAUUACUUAGUGGCGAACGGGUGAGGUAACACGUGAAUAAUCUGCCCUGUACGAUGGGAUAACAGCUGGAAACGGCUGCUAAUACCGUAUAUGACCACGCCGAGGCAUCUCGGAGGGGUGAAAGCGCUUAAGCGGUACAGGAUGAGUUCGCGUCCAAUUAGCUAGUUGGUGAGGUAACGGCCCACCAAGGCGACGAUUGGUAGCCGACCUGAGAGGGUGAUCGGCCACACUGGAACUGAGACACGGUCCAGACUCCUACGGGAGGCAGCAGUGGGGAAUAUUGGGCAAUGGAGGAAACUCUUACCCAGCCAAUGCCGCGUGAGUGAUGAAGGUCUUCGGAUUGUAAAGCUCUUUGAUUGGGGACGAAUAAAUGACGGUACCCAAGGAACAAGCCCCGGCUAACUAUGUGCCAGCCGCUGC